This is a long non-coding RNA of Lotus japonicus, 634 nucleotides long. RefSeq lists it as uncharacterized. The transcript has 3 exons. The record is from RefSeq and is a predicted model, not a curated record. Lineage: Eukaryota; Viridiplantae; Streptophyta; Magnoliopsida; Fabales; Fabaceae.
GAUAAGCGUGUAGUCAAAUGCCAUUUAAUGGAGCCGGAAAAAACUUGGGUUUUCCCAUUCUUUCUAUGUGCAGCCGCCCAAAGUAACCCUACUUUUUCCCCUUUCAAUUGCUUUCAGCCAUAACUCUCGCACUCUCUACCAGAGAUGGGUUAUUGAGACCAUCAACCAUCAUUAAUGGAGAUGACUCCUGAAUUCAAUUUAGAGAUGGAGCCAUUACCCGUCUCUUUUCUCCUAUUUAAGGUCCAUUAGAUCAAAUUUGCUGAUAAUGUUUUCACAUGAAGCAUUCUUUGAGCUAGCUACAGAUUUUUAUCCCAGCGCAUGUGUUCCAUCCAGCAGGUGUUAAAUAACAGACGAUGGUAGAUUAAGUGAUGGAAAUUGGGGGCUAUUUGCCUGUGUUAGUUGUAUAACAUAAACUGGACAUGUUAAACCAGUUAUUUGAAUUUGUAUAAAUUAUUUGUCUUCUUUUAGGUUGUGUACUUGCUGUGGUUACUGAUUUGGACGGAUCAAUUUUUCAAACAUCUCUUGCUUUCAGAGAUGAGCUUUAAUCUCUAAUUCUCUAUGCUGGGAGUUACAGUGUUAAAAUAAAUUUUGAUGUGUUAAGGAAAGAUAUGGUGUCAAAGGAAGAAGUAGAUUG